AGCGAACGUUUGCGGCGGGCCUAACACAUGCAAGUCGAACGCACUAGCAAUAGUGAGUGGCGCACGGGUGCGUAACACGUGGGUAAUCAACCCUUCAGCUUGGGAUAACGACUUGAAAGGGUCGCUAAUACCGGAUACGGCGAGAGAGGCUUCGGCAUUUCUCGAGAAAGCCUCGCAAGGGGCACUGAAGGACGAGCCUGCGGCCCAUCAGCUAGUUGGUGAGGUAAGAGCUCACCAAGGCGAAGACGGGUAGCUGGUCUGAGAGGAUGAUCAGCCACACUGGAACUGAGACACGGUCCAGACUCCUACGGGAGGCAGCAGUGGGGAAUAUUGCGCAAUGGGCGAAAGCCUGACGCAGCCACGCCGCGUGAGCGAUGAAGGCCUUCGGUCGUAAAGCUCUGUGGGGAGAGACGAAGAAAGCCGGUGAAGAGCCGGCCUUGACGGUAUCUCCUUAGCAAGCACCGGCUAACUCCGUGGCCAGCAGCCGCGGUAA
RNAcentral lists this ribosomal RNA (493 nucleotides) under uncultured bacterium. RNAcentral's name for it is "bacterial SSU rRNA". It matches the Rfam family "Bacterial small subunit ribosomal RNA", at positions 29 to 523 of the family's 1533-position model. The record is from RNAcentral.